GACGAACGCUGGCGGCGUGCUUAACACAUGCAAGUCGAGCGGUAAGGCCCUUUCGGGGGUACACGAGCGGCGAACGGGUGAGUAACACGUGGGUGACCUGCCCUCAGCUCUGGGAUAAGCCUGGGAAACCGGGUCUAAUACUGGAUAUGACUCCAUGACGCAUGUUGUGGGGUGGAAAGCCUUGUGCGGCUGAGGAUGGGCCCGCGGCCUAUCAGCUUGUUGGUGGGGUGANGGCCUACCAAGGCGACGACGGGUAGCCGGCCUGAGAGGGCGACCGGCCACACUGGGACUGAGACACGGCCCAGACUCCUACGGGAGGCAGCAGUGGGGAAUCUUGCGCAAUGGGCGAAAGCCUGACGUAGCGACGCCGCGUGAGGGAUGACGGCCUGGUGUAAC
RNAcentral lists this ribosomal RNA (396 nucleotides) under uncultured bacterium. Its description in RNAcentral is "bacterial SSU rRNA". It matches the Rfam family "Bacterial small subunit ribosomal RNA", at positions 28 to 429 of the family's 1533-position model. The record is from RNAcentral.